UCGAGCGGCCGUAGCAAUACGGCAGCGGCAGACGGGAGAGUAACACGUGGGAACGUGCCCUUCAGUUCGGAACAACCCAGGGAAACUUGGGCUAAUACCGGAUACGCCCUUACGGGGAAAGAUUUAUCGCUGAAGGAGCGGCCCGCGUCUGAUUAGCUUGUUGGUGAGGUAACGGCUCACCAAGGCGACGAUCAGUAGCUGGUCUGAGAGGAUGAUCAGCCUCAUUGGGACUGAGACACGGCCCAAACUCCUACGGGAGGCAGCAGUGGGGAAUAUUGGACAAUGGGCGCAAGCCUGAUCCAGCCAUGCCGCGUGGAUGAUGAAGGCCCUAGGGUUGUAAAGUCCUUUCGGCGGGGAAGAUAAUGACGGUACCCGCAGAAGAAGCCCCGGCUAACUUCGUGCCAGCAGCCGCGGUAAUACGAAGGGGGCUAGCGUUGCUCGGAAUCACUGGGCGUAAAGCGCACGUAGGCGGCUUUUUAAGUCAGGGGUGAAAUCCCUGAGCUCAACUCCAGAACUGCCUUUGAUACUGAGAAGCUUGAGUUCGGGAGAGGUGAGUGGAACUGCGAGUGUAGAGGUGAAAUUCGUAGAUAUUCGCAAGAACACCAGUGACGAAGGCGGCUCACUGGCCCGAUACUGACGCUGAGGUGCGAAAGCGUGGGGAGCAAAC
Molecule: ribosomal RNA, 667 nt
Filed under: uncultured bacterium
Lineage: Bacteria
Description: bacterial SSU rRNA
Rfam family: Bacterial small subunit ribosomal RNA
Source: RNAcentral